RNAcentral lists this ribosomal RNA (399 nucleotides) under uncultured bacterium. Its description in RNAcentral is "partial 16S ribosomal RNA". It matches the Rfam family "Bacterial small subunit ribosomal RNA", at positions 359 to 774 of the family's 1533-position model. The record is from RNAcentral.
GAAUAUUGGGCAAUGGAGGGAACUCUUACCCAGCGAUGCCGCGUGAAGGAAGAAGGUUUUCGGAUUGUAAACUUCUGUUAUAGGUGACGAAGAAUGACGGUAGCCUAUAAGGAAGCCCCGGCAAACUAUGUGCCAGCAGCCGCGGUAAUACAUAGGGGGCGAGCGUUGUCCGGAAUGACUGGGCGUAAAGGGAGUGUAGGCGGUUAUGCAAGUUACAUGUGAAAGCCCGAGGCUUAACCUCGGAACUGCAUGUAAAACUACAUAACUUGAGUGUGGGAGAGGAAAGUGGAAUUCCUAGUGUAGCGGUGGAAUGCGUAGAUAUUAGGAGGAACACCAGCGGCGAAGGCGGCUUUCUGGACCAUAACUGACGCUGAGGCUCGAAAGCGUGGGGAGCAAACA